UGUGACGUAUAAUCUAGUGGACGGGACACUUCAACAACAACAGCGAGUCAGUCACUUCAGUAGCUUGCUAGGCGACAUGGCCUAAACAUUCAAGCUUUUUAGACUGUUUCAGUGCACAUUUGCCUGUGUUUUAAACAUGCUAAUGUUUUAUAGCUAGUUGCCCCAUUUCUUUUCAUAUUUACGCUGUUAGUCAGGCAGAUGUCUUAAAUUUACCUAGCGGUCGGCUAGUCGCUAAUGCUAACUAGCUAGUUAAUAUCCCCGACCAUGAGCUCCCUAAAUUUCUCCCCUCCUGUUAAAGAAGAGGGGGCCUGCUGGUCGGAGAAAGAAACUCUAUGACUGAACAUUGUCGUGAAAGAGGAGAAGGAUGUCACAGUAAAAGAAACAAGUAGAGGGUGAAGCUGUUACAGACAAAGAAGAAAAGAAAGACGUUUCAGUGAAAGAAGAGGAAGACACGUUCAGAGUGAAAGAAGAGGAGGAUGUUACUGUAAAAGAAGAAGAGGAAAAGAAAGAGGAGGAUGUCGUUUUUGGAGUGAAGGAGGGAGAAGAGUAGGAGACAGGCGAUCUGAUUAAAACCAACAUGUUUUAAUGUGAGAGGAUGCCAACCCCCAGUCCCAUCAUCACCACCUCACCUGCUUUUAAGAUGACCUUUGGGCCGACUAGAGACACUAUUAUGUCAUUGUGAUGAACUGAGAUAAUAUUUAUGUAGCACUGUGAUUCAUUAAUCAUGUGCUGCCUUCCUUGCUCCUAUGUGCUUACCUCUUUCCCUUUCUGUCUUUUACACCUCUCCUUCCACCUCUGUUCAUAUAAUUCACAACAGAUGUGCAUUGAAGUACAGAUUGAACUUGUAUUUAUAACAUUUGGAUAAUGAGCUUUUCAAUAAAGUGUUCUCUACUGGUUGAAAUGAAGUGUAAUGUGAUGAAAUACUCCACCUAUCCUGUGUUUAUCAGAUCAAUGCAGAUGAAGGACAUUAGAUAUUGUGAUGAACCGGUUUUAGAGUAUUUACAUGAUGCAUAGGAAGUGUGGUGUAGUGUUUUUUAACAUUAUAUUUCUGUAUAUAUGAAUUAACUAGUUAAAUCCUGUUUCUAGUCUAUUAGUUACAAUGUGUAACCAUUGAUGUCCCAGGACCAAGAUUGGUAAACACUGUUGAAGUAUAUAAUUGUAAUACAUACAUGCAGACACAGCAUCAUUCAAAGACUGGAAUUUGAUAGUCCUGGUAUUGGAUAUGACUGAAAAAUAAUCUCAAAGACAUUCAUACCUGAACAGCACCUUUAUUUGCCAAGGUAGAGUACAUGAUCAGUGAAUAUAUUAAAUGUACAGGCUACAA
This is a long non-coding RNA of Oncorhynchus mykiss (rainbow trout), 1324 nucleotides long. RefSeq lists it as uncharacterized. The record is from RefSeq and is a predicted model, not a curated record. NCBI's taxonomy places the organism in Eukaryota, Metazoa, Chordata, Actinopteri, Salmoniformes, Salmonidae.